UCCUAGUUUGUAAAUAUAAGCUUGAAAAUACUGCAGCAGAGUGAUUUUCUAAGUGUGGCGGUGAAUCACAAACAUAAAAAUCACCAUGAAUGCUUGUUAAAGAAUAAGCAUAGGUUUUAAGUAUGGACUAGACAGUCAAAAUCUAAAAAAAUAGGUCCAAAAAUUUAUAUUAUUAAGAGGCUCACUCAGAUAAUUCCUAUGCAUGCUAAGGUUGUGGAAGCACAGCUAUAGUUUGUGUGUGUGUGUAUGUGUGUGUGUGUGUGUGUGUAAUGUGUAUUUCAUUUCUUUUAUUUGUUUUCCCUACUGUUUACUGAGUGAGAAUUCUAUGUAGAACCCAAGACUUGUCAAUCAACAGCUAAGGGAAUGAAACACUUUGCACUUGAUGAGAAUCAACAUGGUUUUCCUGAAGAUAUUUCAACCCAUGUUGGACAUUCGAGAUCUGAUCCAAAAUAAAGAGGUUCAUCCCCCUUGGACUUCAGCCUUGCCCUGCAUACAUCUUUUCUAUCUCAUUGGUGUCAGAAAUUGGGGAAGAUUACUGCCUGAGACAGCACAGGGCAGCGACAGUGAGAGAUGAAGGCAACAUCAGUGUGCGCCAGAGUUUUGCAACUCCACACGCAGUCCAUCAUGGACCAACAACUGCAGCAUCACCUAGGAGCUGUUAGAAGUACAGACUCUCAGAUCCCACCCCAGAUUCCUGAGUUGGAAUCUGUAAUUUGAUAAGAUUCUCAGGUACAUUAAAGUUCGAAAAGUGGCAUGUUAGUGAACUGAGAUUUCUAUGUCAAGGGAUGUACUUGGUGUUGAAGAGCUGAGUUCAGAGUUCAGAGAGCAGGUGUUCAAAAGCAAGUUCAAGUCAUACAAAAGAGCCAAGAAUAACCCAAGAGCUUCCACAUAUCUCUGUAAACAGGGUUAGAGGUUGUCAGGGUCACAGGCAGGACAGAUACCUUGCACAUUUUUUUCUUAAGAAAUCUCGAUUAUCAAUCUCAAAUUUUCUUUAAAGUGUUUUUUACUAUAACACAAAUAUUGAAACACAAAUAUGUGUACAAAUUAAUGCAUUUUAAUACUGUUUUACUGAGGUAAAAUUUACAUGUAAUAAAAUGCAUAACUUUUGAAGAAUGUGUUGUGUAUAUCAGAUAAUUGCUACUCUGAUUGAAAUAUAAAACAUGUUCAUCACCCCAGAAAUCUCUCUCUUAUCCUCUCAAAUUAAUUUUUAGCCCC
This 1215-nucleotide long non-coding RNA is filed under the name Homo sapiens (human). RNAcentral describes it as "HSALNT0075513". The record is from RNAcentral. Lineage: Eukaryota; Metazoa; Chordata; Mammalia; Primates; Hominidae.